UCCGGUUUGUCACCGGCAGUCUCGCAUGAGUCCCCAACUGAAUGCUGGCAACAUGCGACGGGGGUUGCGCUCGUUGCGGGACUUAACCCAACAUCUCACGACACGAGCUGACGACAGCCAUGCACCACCUGUGAUCCUGCCCCGAAGGGAAGCCCUGUUUCCAGGGAUGUCAGGAACAUGUCAAGCCCAGGUAAGGUUCUUCGCGUUGCCUCGAAUUAAGCCACAUGCUCCGCCGCUUGUGUGGGUCCCCGUCAAUUCCUUUGAGUUUUAGCCUUGCGGCCGUACUCCCCAGGCGGGGUGCUUAAUGCGUUAGCUGCGGCACGGAAGGCGUCGAUAGCCUCCCACACCUAGCACCCAUCGUUUACGGCGUGGACUAC
Molecule: unclassified non-coding RNA, 377 nt
Filed under: uncultured Thermoleophilia bacterium
Lineage: Bacteria; Bacillati; Actinomycetota; Thermoleophilia
Description: contains 16S-23S intergenic spacer region
Source: RNAcentral